Molecule: ribosomal RNA, 301 nt
Filed under: uncultured bacterium
Lineage: Bacteria
Description: partial 16S ribosomal RNA
Rfam family: Bacterial small subunit ribosomal RNA
Source: RNAcentral
CAGCCGCCACGGUAAUACGUAGGUGGCAAGCGUUGUCCGGAAUUAUUGGGCGCAAAGCGCGCGCAGGUGGUUUAAUAAGUCUGAUGUGAAAGUCCACGGCUCAACCGUGGAGGGUCAUUGGAAACUGUUAAACUUGAGUGCAGGAGAGAAAAGUGGAAUUCCUAGUGUAGCGGUGAAAUGCGUAGAGAUUAGGAGGAACACCAGUGGCGAAGGCGGCUUUUUGGCCUGUAACUGACACUGAGGCGCGAAAGCGUGGGGAGCAAACAGGAUUAGAUACCCCCGUAGUCCCUGUCUCUUAUAC